This 97-nucleotide signal recognition particle RNA is filed under the name Alphaproteobacteria bacterium. RNAcentral describes it as "signal recognition particle sRNA small type". It matches the Rfam family "Bacterial small signal recognition particle RNA". Rfam says of the family: The signal recognition particle (SRP) is a universally conserved ribonucleoprotein involved in the co-translational targeting of proteins to membranes. Archaeal SRP consists of a 7S RNA and homologues of the eukaryotic SRP19 and SRP54 proteins. In most bacteria, the SRP consists of a 4.5S RNA and the Ffh protein (a homologue of the eukaryotic SRP54 protein). Lineage: Bacteria; Pseudomonadati; Pseudomonadota; Alphaproteobacteria. The record is from RNAcentral.
UGUGGAGGGUCACAUGGACGUAAUUCUUGCUAAUCCGGUCAGGUCCGAAAGGAAGCAGCCGUAACAACGAUAGCGGGUUGUGGGGCCCUUCGUUUAU